RNAcentral lists this long non-coding RNA (664 nucleotides) under Olea europaea (common olive). RNAcentral describes it as "long non-coding RNA (OEUR_LNC008294)". The record is from RNAcentral. Lineage: Eukaryota; Viridiplantae; Streptophyta; Magnoliopsida; Lamiales; Oleaceae.
UUCUUUUUAUUGGCGAUGAACUUUACAAUUGGAAAUGGAAAACAACGUGCCUCCAAGGGGCGCAAGCACACGAGUUACAGAAAAGGAAAUGUUUAAGUCUAAAAGCUAAAGGAAUGAAAAUUACAUAUUCUCUGUUCGAGAGUUUUGGAUUCGGUCCCUUACUUCUAAGUUCUUUCUCCCUUUUAUACUUCAUAGGCGAUCCCUUUGUGAUUAACUGCUCUAAAAAACUGCUUGAUCGCCCUAUAACUACCCACUUUCUUUGUAGUGGCCAUUUUGUCAUGCAACUGUCCUUUUAACUGCUGCCAUUAUCUUGCAUCGUUCAACCGCUUUCGAUUGAAUCCCUUGAGUCGUGGAACGUGAUAAAGUUACUUUAGCAACUGCCUCAAUAACUGCAUCAUAAUGCGUUAUGCUUGUUGAUACCUUGGGCGACUUGAAGAUUUGGGCGAGACUUUGGACGACCGUAUGCCACUCUAUUCGUUCAGACUCUGAGCGACUUACAAACUUGGACGAUGGCGUUACCGCACUAUUGGGCCCCUUAUUUGGGCAUUCACCUUGAUUCGUUCAAUUGGAUUUCGUUCUUUGGGCUAUCUGAUUUGGGGAUCCUCCAAUUGGGCUUUAUUCUCUGGGCUGUUCGAUUUGGGCUGAAUUUUUAUGUGUCAACAGA